Molecule: long non-coding RNA, 234 nt
Filed under: Solanum tuberosum (potato)
Lineage: Eukaryota; Viridiplantae; Streptophyta; Magnoliopsida; Solanales; Solanaceae
Description: long non-coding RNA (STUB_LNC008095)
Source: RNAcentral
GCCACUGUUGAGGAAGUCAUUGCCAAGAAAUCAAUGCCGACGAAUUGUUUGGCCGAAAGAUCCAUCAAAAUUGAAAGUGGAGAAAAAUUUAAUCUUUCUAGAGUUUUAUUUUUUUUCUCUCUUCUAAACUUUUUCAUCUAUUUGUCAUUUCAGUCUUAUUUUCUCUUAUUUGUUUCUUCUCCCUUUUAUUCUCCGUAAAUCUCUUGUGUUAGAAAGAGGAAAACAAAAAAUAAG